UGGGGAAUCUUAGGCAAUGGGCGCAAGCCUGAUCUAGCCAUGCCGCGUGAGUGAUGAAGGCCCUAGGGUCGUAAAGCUCUUUCAACUGUGAAGAUAAUGACGGUAGCAGUAGAAGAAACCCCGGCUAACUCC
RNAcentral lists this ribosomal RNA (132 nucleotides) under uncultured Alphaproteobacteria bacterium. Its description in RNAcentral is "partial 16S ribosomal RNA". It matches the Rfam family "Bacterial small subunit ribosomal RNA", at positions 355 to 504 of the family's 1533-position model. Lineage: Bacteria; Pseudomonadati; Pseudomonadota; Alphaproteobacteria. The record is from RNAcentral.